This 617-nucleotide ribosomal RNA is filed under the name uncultured bacterium. RNAcentral describes it as "bacterial SSU rRNA". It matches the Rfam family "Bacterial small subunit ribosomal RNA", at positions 338 to 953 of the family's 1533-position model. The record is from RNAcentral.
CCUACGGGAGGCAGCAGUAAGGAAUAUUGGACAAUGCUCGCAAGAGUGAUCCAGCCAUGCCGCGUGCAGGAAGAAUGCCCUAUGGGUAGUAAACUGCUUUUGAACUAGAGAAAAUCCCAGUACGUGUACUGGGCUGAUAGUAUAGUUAGAAUAAGCAUCGGCUAACUUCGUGCCAGCAGCCGCGGUAAGACGAAGGAUGCAAGCGUUAUCCGGAUUCAUUGGGUUUAAAGGGAGCGUAGGUGGACUGAUAAGUCAGUGGUGAAAUCUCCGAGCUUAACUCGGAAAUUGCCAUUGAUACUGUUGGUCUUGAGUACAGUUGCUGUGGGCGGAAUAUGACAUGUAGUGGUGAAAUACAUAGAGAUGUCAUAGAACACCGAUUGCGAAGGCAGCUCACAAAGCUGUAACUGACACUGAGGCUCGAAAGUGCGGGGAUCAAACAGGAUUAGAUACCCUGGUAGUCCGCACCGUAAACGAUGAUUACUCGCUGCUAGGGGGCAACCUUUAGUGGCUUAGCGAAAGCGAUAAGUAAUCCACCUGGGGAGUACGCCGGCAACGGUGAAACGUCAAAGAGUAGUUACGGCGGNGNGAGNGCGACGACGACGACGAGGAGGGAGGAG